RNAcentral lists this ribosomal RNA (253 nucleotides) under uncultured bacterium. Its description in RNAcentral is "partial 16S ribosomal RNA". It matches the Rfam family "Bacterial small subunit ribosomal RNA", at positions 524 to 776 of the family's 1533-position model. The record is from RNAcentral.
UACGAAGGGGGCUAGCGUUGUUCGGAUUUACUGGGCGUAAAGCCCACGUAGGCGGAUCUUUAAGUCAGAGGUGAAAUCCCAAGGCUCAACCUUGGAACUGCCUUUGAUACUGGGGAUCUUGAGUCCGGGAGAGGUGAGUGGAACUGCGAGUGUAGAGGUGAAAUUCGUAGAUAUUCGCAAGAACACCAGUGGCGAAGGCGGCUCACUGGCCCGAUACUGACGCUGAUGCACGAAAGCGUGGGGAGCAAACAGG